This 233-nucleotide long non-coding RNA is filed under the name Elaeis guineensis (African oil palm). RNAcentral describes it as "long non-coding RNA (EGUI_LNC069710)". Lineage: Eukaryota; Viridiplantae; Streptophyta; Magnoliopsida; Arecales; Arecaceae. The record is from RNAcentral.
GAUGGAUUCCAUGCGAUUCUCCCAUCCGCUGGCGAGUCACGACAACGGACGCUGCUCCACCCCUUAUAACAGAUUCCACAUGGCGAGCCACGGUGAUGGCCACGCGUCUACUCCACGAUCCUUUGCAAUCAAUUCCCCUGACCAUGGGCGGCCCACUACCAGACGGUUACAAACAUCGCCAUCAAUCCGUUGCCUCCUCCGCCUAUAAAAGGGAGACUCAGAUACGUUAUUCU